This is a long non-coding RNA of Vicia villosa (hairy vetch), 673 nucleotides long. RefSeq lists it as uncharacterized. NCBI's taxonomy places the organism in Eukaryota, Viridiplantae, Streptophyta, Magnoliopsida, Fabales, Fabaceae. The record is from RefSeq and is a predicted model, not a curated record. The transcript is spliced from 2 exons.
UUGGUUCAUUUUCCUUCAACUCUUUAACUUUUUCAUCAUCAACACUCUUAUAUUACUGUUUUGUUGUUUGCCCCCUUAUAUAUCAUGAAAAGAUAUAUAAUAACCAAAAUAUAAUAAAAGGUUGUUAAAAUAUUGGGUGACCUAAUGGGACAAACAAGAAGACACACACUUGCAUGUAAAAGACAUUUAAUUAAUAAUGACCCUAGUUUUCUAAUGUUUUCUUUCAUUUCUAUAAGUGCUAAAGAAGCUUCGUUAUAUUUUGAUACAAAAAGUUUAAUAUCAUAUAUGAAAAAUAGAAAACAAAUAUGAUUGAAAUGUCAAAGUUUGUUUAUAUUAUGAUAAUUUUUGUAUUUUUCGUUGUAAGUGUUGCAAGCUCAGGAGUUCCUUGGCAUUGUAAUGAGGAUAAAAAUUGUCAUUAUAGACUGUGCUUUCCUUACAUAACUAUUUGUGCCGUUAAUCGUUGUAUUUGCCUGAAAAUAAAAUUUUCUGAUGUAAUUAAUCCUGAUUGAUUGGUUUAGUAGUUGAAGAUUGAGCCUUGAGAAUGUGCUCUUCUCAAAAUUUUAAAUUCGAAUUCCGCUGAGUAUAAAUAGUUAUAUGUUAUAGACUUGAGAAAAGCAAUUACAAACAAAAGUGAUUUCUUUCACAUGAAUAAAGAAAGUUAGUGAAUUUCAUA